Chelonia mydas (Green sea turtle) is the source of this 172-nucleotide long non-coding RNA. RefSeq lists it as uncharacterized. NCBI's taxonomy places the organism in Eukaryota, Metazoa, Chordata, Testudines, Cheloniidae. The transcript is spliced from 3 exons. The record is from RefSeq and is a predicted model, not a curated record.
CUGCUGUAUUGCUCUCCCAGCACAUAUCGGGGUGACUGAAGUCCCCCAUGAGAACGAGGGCCUGCAAUCUAGUAACUUCUGUUAGUUGCCUGAAGAAAGCCUUGUCCACCUCAUACCCCUGGUCUGGUGUUCUAUAGCAGACUCCCCACUCAACAUCAGCCUUGUUGAUUAC